This 253-nucleotide ribosomal RNA is filed under the name uncultured bacterium. Its description in RNAcentral is "partial 16S ribosomal RNA". It matches the Rfam family "Bacterial small subunit ribosomal RNA", at positions 524 to 776 of the family's 1533-position model. The record is from RNAcentral.
UACGUAGGGUCCGAGCGUUGUCCGGAAUUACUGGGCGUAAAGAGCUCGUAGGCGGUUUGUCGCGUUGUUCGUGAAAACUCACAGCUCAACUGUGGGCGUGCGGGCGAUACGGGCUGACUUGAGUGCUGCAGGGGAGACUGGAAUUCCUGGUGUAGCGGUGGAAUGCGCAGAUAUCAGGAGGAACACCGGUGGCGAAGGCGGGUCUCUGGGCAGUAACUGACGCUGAGGAGCGAAAGCGUGGGGAGCGAACAGG